GUGGUGAGCCAAUCGUUCUGAAAACCGACACAGGUAGGCAAGCUGAGAAGGCUAAGGGGAGCGGGAUAACUCCUGUUAAGGAACUAGGCAAAUUAGCCCCGUAACUUAGGGAGAAGGGGUACUCUGGUUGGUUAAUAGCUGACUGGAGUCGCAGUGACAAGGCAGCGGCGACUGUUUACCAAAAACACAGGGCUCUGCGAAUUCGAUAAGAAGACGUAUAGGGUCUGACGCCUGCCCAGUGCUGGAAGGUUAAGGGGAAAGGUUAGCGCAAGCGAAGCUUUGAACCGAAGCCCCAGUAAACGGCGGCCGUAACGAUAACGGUCCUAAGGUAGCGAAAUUCCUUGUCGGGUAAGUUCCGACCUGCACGAAUGGCGUAACGAUCGCUGCACUGUCUCAACAGGAGACCCGGUGAAAUUUCAGUCUGGGUGAAGAUGCCCAGAACUCGCAACUAGACGGAAAGACCCCAUGGAGCUUUACUGUAGCUUGGUAUUGUGCUUUGUUGUAUGGUGUACAGGAUAGGUAGGAGGCAGAGAACCCGGUUCGCCAGGAUCGGGGGAGCCAACGGUGGGAUACUACCCUCUAUACAACGGAGUACUAACUUGUGGAUGUGGAGAGCAUCGCAAGGACAGUGCUAGGUGGGCAGUUUGACUGGGGCGGUCGCCUCCCAAAGAGUAACGGAGGCGCGCUAAGGUUGGCUCAGGUUGGUUGGAAAUCAACCAUAGAGUGUAAGGGCAAAAGCCAGCUUGACUGUGAGACUGACAGGUCGAACAGGAGGGAAACCUGGCCCUAGUGACCCUGCGGCCCUGAGUGGAAAGGCCGUUGAUCAGCGGAUAAAAGCUACCCUGGGGAUAACAGGCUUAUACUGCCCGAGAGUUCACAUCGACGGCAGUGUUUGGCACCUCGAUGUCGGCUCAUCGCAUCCUGGGGCUGGAGCAGGUCCCAAGGGUUAGGCUGUUCGCCUAUUAAAGCGGUACGUGAGCUGGGUUCAGAACGUCGUGAGACAGUUCGGUCCCUAUCUGUUGCGAGCGUAGGAGACUUGAGAAGGGUAGCCCCUAGUACGAGAGGACCGGGGUUAGUGGACCUCUGGUGAAUCAGUUGUCGUGCAAGCGGCAGUAGCUGAGUAGCUAAGUUCAUGAGUGAUAACCGCUGACAGCAUCUAAGCGGGAAGCACGCUUCAAGACUAGGUCUCUCAGGAUCGUUCGAGAAGAGGACGUAGAUAGGCUGGAGAUGUAAGCACCGUGAGGUGUUGAGUCGACCAGUACUAAUCAUCCGAUUCCUUUAUC
RNAcentral lists this ribosomal RNA (1283 nucleotides) under metagenome. RNAcentral describes it as "bacterial LSU rRNA". It matches the Rfam family "Bacterial large subunit ribosomal RNA", at positions 1630 to 2925 of the family's 2925-position model. The record is from RNAcentral.